AAGACGGGAGGAAAGAAGGGAG
Molecule: microRNA, 22 nt
Filed under: Callithrix jacchus (white-tufted-ear marmoset)
Lineage: Eukaryota; Metazoa; Chordata; Mammalia; Primates; Cebidae
Also listed under: 5 other names
Description: Cja-Mir-483_5p (mature (co-guide))
Source: RNAcentral